GGGGAAGUAUUGCGCAAUGGACGAAAGUCUGACGCAGCAACGCCGCGUGAGGGAUGACGGCCUUCGGGUUGUGAAACCUCUUCAGCAGGGACGAAGCGAGAGUGACGGUACCUGCAGAAGAAGGACCGGCCAACUACGUGCCAGCAGCCGCGGUAAUACGUAGGGUCCGAGCGUUGUCCGGAAUUAUUGGGCGUAAAGGGCUCGUAGGCGGUUCGUCACGUCGGGAGUGAAAACUCGGAGCUCAACUCCGAGCCUGCUUCCGAUACGGGCAGACUAGAGGUAGGCAGGGGAGAGCGGAACUCCUGGUGUAGCGGUGGAAUGCGCAGAUAUCAGGAAGAACACCGGUGGCGAAGGCGGCUCUCUGGGCCUUAUCUGACGCUGAGGAGCG
Molecule: ribosomal RNA, 388 nt
Filed under: uncultured Kribbella sp.
Lineage: Bacteria; Bacillati; Actinomycetota; Actinomycetes; Propionibacteriales; Kribbellaceae
Description: bacterial SSU rRNA
Rfam family: Bacterial small subunit ribosomal RNA
Source: RNAcentral